Molecule: ribosomal RNA, 283 nt
Filed under: uncultured bacterium
Lineage: Bacteria
Description: partial 16S ribosomal RNA
Rfam family: Bacterial small subunit ribosomal RNA
Source: RNAcentral
AUUGAACGCUGGCGGCAUGCUUUACACAUGCAAGUCGAGCGGCAGCGCGGGGCAACCCUGGCGGCGAGCGGCGAACGGGUGAGUAAUACAUCGGAACGUACCCCGUAGUGGGGGAUAACCCGGCGAAAGCCGGACUAACACCGCAUAUGCUCUACGGGAGGAAAGUGGGGAUUCAGCAGGCAACUGGAGGAACCUCACGCUAGUGGGAGCGGCCGAUGUCCGANAGCUUGUUGGCGGGGUAAAGGCCCACCAAGGCGACGAUCGGUAGCUGGUCUGAGAGGAU